Molecule: ribosomal RNA, 301 nt
Filed under: uncultured bacterium
Lineage: Bacteria
Description: partial 16S ribosomal RNA
Rfam family: Bacterial small subunit ribosomal RNA
Source: RNAcentral
CAGCAGCCGCGGUAAAACGUAGGUGGCAAGCGUUGUCCGGAAUUAUUGGGCGUAAAGGGCUCGCAGGCGGUUUCUUAAGUCUGAUAUGAAAGCCCCCGGCUCAACCGGGGAGGGUCAUUGGAAACUGGGAAACUUGAGUGCAGAAGAGGAGAGUGGAAUUCCACGUGUAGCGGUGAAAUGCGUAGAGAUGUGGAGAAACACCAGUGGCGAAGGCGACUCUCUGGUCCGUAACUGACGCUGAGGAGCGAAAGCGUGGGGAGCGAACAGGAUUAGAUACCCGCGUAGUCCCUGUCUCUUAUAC